GUGUCAGCCGCCGCGGUAAUACGUAGGGGGCGAGCGUUGUCCGGAAUCAUUGGGCGUAAAGAGCUCGUAGGCGGUUCAGUAAGUCGGCUGUGAAAUUCCGAGGCUCAACCUCGGAACUGCAGUCGAUACUAUUGUGACUAGAGUCCGGUAGAGGAGAAUGGAAUUCCCGGUGUAGCGGUGAAAUGCGCAGAUAUCGGGAGGAACACCAGUAGCGAAGGCGGUUCUCUGGGCCGGUACUGACGCUGAGGAGCGAAAGCGUGGGGAGCAAACAGGAUUAGAUACCCCCGUAGUCC
RNAcentral lists this ribosomal RNA (293 nucleotides) under uncultured bacterium. RNAcentral's name for it is "partial 16S ribosomal RNA". It matches the Rfam family "Bacterial small subunit ribosomal RNA", at positions 505 to 796 of the family's 1533-position model. The record is from RNAcentral.